This 1278-nucleotide long non-coding RNA is filed under the name Gadus morhua (Atlantic cod). RNAcentral's name for it is "lncRNA (ENSGMOG00000032194.1)". Lineage: Eukaryota; Metazoa; Chordata; Actinopteri; Gadiformes; Gadidae. The record is from RNAcentral.
GUAGAGGUGGACAUAAUGCCUUGCGACCUUGUCGAUUUUGGCGGAAUUCAGAGGGGGUGGAUGUAACAGAGUUAAAAAUGUAGUGUAUUAUUAUAUAUGAUUCUCGCCAAAAUAAAACUGCCGUGGUUAAUAAGUGUGAAGUUCUGUGCUGCGUGGAAAUCUACUGCGUUCCUACUCGAUCAGAGAAGCCGUUGCUUUUGAUCUGGUAGGUUCGCUAUAUAAAGCACUGUACCCAAUAUCAGUUUUCUUAAAGUGAAUUCAUGUUUAAGUUGAUAACUUCGAUGUAUCCCAUGUGUUAUGUUAUUUUCCAUUCACGAUCGUACUGUAGUUUGCAUGUUUUAGAGAAAGUUUAUUAAUACUUUUCUUAUGACCUUGGGUUUCUACAUGCUAAGGCUAACAUGGCUAGCCGUAAACUCCGCUAGCCACGUUCAUACAUUGAAAGUAAUAUUACUCUCUUUCUUGCUUGUGCAGAUGUACACCGUUUUCUGAUGGCAAUGAUUUGAUUUAUUUUCCAAAGGAAAAUAAAGGAAAGAAAAUUCAACAGUUUCGCCUCCGUCUCCCUGAUGCUUGACCAUCGUUACACUCAACCAUUUUGUUGUGAGCCCUGUAAAAAUUGUUUUCUUGACCGUUUUGUUGUGAGCCCUGUAUGUUUCUAGCUUGCUUGGUUGCAACCAUAUAAACACCUUUGUUUCCAUUGGUGUUUUGCUGUUCGUCUGUCUCGUCCCCCAGAUACACUGAAUCCCCGAAUCCAGGUUCUUGUUUAUUUCGAUUAUUAUGUUGGCCAACACUCUCACACUGAUUGUUCUGUUCAACCAAAGAUAAAACAAUUAUAAUCUAGGAUAUUAAUUCUCCCCGUAAACUAUAAAAAAGGAUGGCUUUAUGUUUAUUGCAAUACAAAUACACCAUGUAAAAAAAGUAUAACCUUGCUCCUUCCCCGGAGCCAGACUGUCUUCAGUCCUCGUCUGCGUCAGUAGCGCCGACAGUGAUUACGUGAGUUUUCAACGGAGAGUUUUCCGGCAAGCUGGCCUCAAGCUGGAGCCCAACACCCCCUAACCCCCUUGAUCACACUCCAUAGCAUAGCUAGCUAACGCUAGCCAUCCCGGUUUACUGUUUUGUUUACGUUUGUAAAGUGAGGUGUCCCCCCGCUAAACUGUUGAGCCUAUUACUGGAACAAAUGGCACGAUUUGGAAAGUAAAGUGUAAGAAAGAAAGCCUAGUGCAUCGUACUUAACGUUACAUUAACAGCCCCGUUCUACGAGUAAGGCUUCUUUGAGCCAGC